AGCAGCCGCGGUAAUUCCAGCUCCAAUAGCGUAUAUUAAAGUUGCUGCAGUUAAAAAGCUCGUAGUUGAAUUUCGGGACUAAUAUGUCGGUCGUGCCUCGGUACGUACUGGUAUUUUUGGUUUCUCCCUUCUGACGAACCUUGAUGUCAUUAAUUUGGUGUCUUGGGAAAUCAGGACUGUUACUUUGAAAAAAUUAGAGUGUUUAAAGCAGGCUCACGCUUGAAUACAUUAGCAUGGAAUAAUGAAAUAGGACGUUUGAUUCUAUUUUGUUGGUUUCUAGGAUCGACGUAAUGAUUAAUAGGGAUAGUUGGGGGCAUUAGUAUUCAAUUGUCAGAGGUGAAAUUCUUGGAUUUAUUGAAGACUAACUACUGCGAAAGCAUUUGCCAAGGAUGUUUUCAUUAAUCAAGAACGAAAGUUAGGGGAUCGAAGACGAUCAGAUACCGUCGUAGUCUUAACCAUAAACUAUGCCGACUAGGGAUCGGAUGA
RNAcentral lists this ribosomal RNA (486 nucleotides) under uncultured Glomus. RNAcentral's name for it is "SSU rRNA". It matches the Rfam family "Eukaryotic small subunit ribosomal RNA", at positions 569 to 1060 of the family's 1831-position model. The record is from RNAcentral. Lineage: Eukaryota; Fungi; Glomeromycota; Glomeromycetes; Glomerales; Glomeraceae.